UACGUAGGUCCCGAGCGUUAUCCGGAUUUAUUGGGCGUAAAGCGAGCGCAGGCGGUUGGAUAAGUCUGAAGUUAAAGGCUGUGGCUUAACCAUAGUAUGCUUUGGAAACUGUUCAACUUGAGUGCAGAAGGGGAGAGUGGAAUUCCAUGUGUAGCGGUGGAAUGCGUGGAUAUAUGGAGGAACACCGGUGGCGAAAGCGGCUCUCUGGUCUGUAACUGACGCUGAGGCUCGAAAGCGUGGGUAGCGAACAGG
This 252-nucleotide ribosomal RNA is filed under the name uncultured bacterium. RNAcentral describes it as "partial 16S ribosomal RNA". It matches the Rfam family "Bacterial small subunit ribosomal RNA", at positions 524 to 776 of the family's 1533-position model. The record is from RNAcentral.